AGAUUAAGUUAUUAAGGGCGCACGGUGAAUGCCUUGGCACUAGAAGCCGAUGAAGGACGUUACUAACGACGAUAUGCUUUGGGGAGCUGUAAGUAAGCUAUGAUCCAGAGAUUUCCGAAUGGGG
Molecule: ribosomal RNA, 124 nt
Filed under: Staphylococcus pettenkoferi
Lineage: Bacteria; Bacillati; Bacillota; Bacilli; Caryophanales; Staphylococcaceae
Description: partial 23S ribosomal RNA
Rfam family: Bacterial large subunit ribosomal RNA
Source: RNAcentral